UAGAGUUUGAUCCUGGCUCAGGAUGAACGCUGGCGGCGUGGAUAAGGCAUGCAAGUCGCAAGGGUUAGACCCUUGGCAAACGGGUUAGUAAUACACAGGAACGUACCCAUCACACGGGCAUAACCCCGAGAAAUCGGGGAUAAUUCCCGAUAGUCUCUUCGGAGUAAAGUUUGUGGGCAACCACAGGCGGUGAUGGAGCGGCCUGUGCCCUAUCAGCUUGUUGGUGAGGUAAUGGCUCACCAAGGCUAUGACGGGUAGGGGGUGUGAGAGCACGGCCCCCAACAUUGGGACUGAGACACUGCCCAAACACCUACGGGUGGCUGCAGUCGAGAAUAUUCGGCAAUGGCCUAACGGCUGACCGAGCGACGCCGCGUGGAGGAUGAAGGCCUUCGGGUUGUAAACUCCUUUUCUGGGGGAAGAAUCCGCUUCGGUGGAUGACGGUACUCCAGGAAUAAGAGGUUGCUAACUCUGUGCCAGCCGCCGCGGUAAUUC
This 492-nucleotide ribosomal RNA is filed under the name uncultured bacterium. RNAcentral's name for it is "bacterial SSU rRNA". It matches the Rfam family "Bacterial small subunit ribosomal RNA", at positions 1 to 526 of the family's 1533-position model. The record is from RNAcentral.